This 253-nucleotide ribosomal RNA is filed under the name uncultured bacterium. Its description in RNAcentral is "partial 16S ribosomal RNA". It matches the Rfam family "Bacterial small subunit ribosomal RNA", at positions 524 to 776 of the family's 1533-position model. The record is from RNAcentral.
UACAGAGGUCUCAAGCGUUGUUCGGAUUCAUUGGGCGUAAAGGGUGCUUAGGUGGUGACGUAAGUCUGGUGUGAAAUCUCGGAGCUCAACUCCGAAAUUGCACCGGAUACUACGUGACUCGAGGACUGUAGAGGAGAUCGGAAUUCACGGUGUAGCAGUGAAAUGCGUAGAUAUCGUGAGGAAGACCAGUUGCGAAGGCGGAUCUCUGGGCAGUUCCUGACAAUGAGGCACGAAGGCCAGGGGAGCAAACGGG